RNAcentral lists this long non-coding RNA (374 nucleotides) under Anas platyrhynchos platyrhynchos (common mallard). RNAcentral describes it as "lncRNA (ENSAPLG00000020427.1)". Lineage: Eukaryota; Metazoa; Chordata; Aves; Anseriformes; Anatidae. The record is from RNAcentral.
GGAAUAUUAUACCACUUGCUGAAGCUUAAAACAACUCCCAGAUCCUCACUGAAAAUGAGCUUCAUGAUGAAAAGACUUGUAGCCUGUUGGGCCAAGAGAUGGGGAUUAUAAGAAUAUUCAUGAUUCCUGAGAAUCAGCAGCACAACCCCAUUCUACUAACUUGUCAUUCUCCUGUCCGUGGAUCGCAGCAGCAGGUCUACAUUGAGGAGUCCAGACUAAGCUCCAAGAGCUUGAAAGUGGAGAAAAAUACUUGGCAGGAAAUUAAAGAAAAGAAAAAAAAAUUAUUACAGUUAACGCUGGUCUAUCUGGUGGUAAAGACCAGAAUGUGCCCCUGUGAUCAUUUGCACCAAGCUUCCAACUUCUGUCCGGGCUAA